UCUGGCAACCUUUACUACUGUGUGAUGCAUAUACAACAGAAUUUUAGCAAACACUAUACUGAAGCUAAGCACGGCUGAGCCUGGUCAGUACCUGGAUUGGAGACCACAUGGGAAAACUAGGUUGCUGUUGGAA
Molecule: ribosomal RNA, 133 nt
Filed under: Danio rerio (zebrafish)
Lineage: Eukaryota; Metazoa; Chordata; Actinopteri; Cypriniformes; Danionidae
Source: RNAcentral